GACGAACGCUGGCGGCGUGCCUAAUACAUGCAAGUUGAGCGCUGAAGGUUGGUACUUGUACCAACUGGAUGAGCAGCGAACGGGUGAGUAACGCGUGGGGAAUCUGCCUUUGAGCGGGGGACAACAUUUGGAAACGAAUGCUAAUACCGCAUAAAAACUUUAAACACAAGUUUUAAGUUUGAAAGAUGCAAUUGCAUCACUCAAAGAUGAUCCCGCGUUGUAUUAGCUAGUUGGUGAGGUAAAGGCUCACCAAGGCGAUGAUACAUAGCCGACCUGAGAGGGUGAUAGGCCACAUUGGGACGUAGACACGGCCCAAACUCCUAAGGGAGGCAGCAGUAGGGAAUCGUCGGCGAUGGACGAAAGUCUGACCGAGCAACGCCGCGUGAGUGAAGAAGGUUGUCGGAUCGUAAAACUCUGUUGGUAGAGAAGAACGUUGGUGAGAGUGGAAAGCUCAUCAAGUGACGGUAACUACCCAGAAAGGGACGGCUAACUACGUG
Molecule: ribosomal RNA, 497 nt
Filed under: uncultured bacterium
Lineage: Bacteria
Description: partial 16S ribosomal RNA
Rfam family: Bacterial small subunit ribosomal RNA
Source: RNAcentral